AGUUCGAUUAUGGCUCAGAUUGAACGCUGGCGGGAUGCUUUACACAUGCAAGUCGAACGGCAGCACGGACUUCGGUCUGGUGGCGAGUGGCGAACAGGUGAGUAAUGUAUCGGAACGUGCCUAGUAGCGGGGGAUAACUACGCGAAAGCGUAGCUAAUACCGCAUACGCCCUUCGGGGGAAAGCGGGGACCUUCGGGCCUCGCACUAUUAGAGCGGCCGAUAUCGGAUUAGCUAGUUAGGGUGAGGUAACGGCUCGCAAGGCGACGAUCCGUAGCUGGUUUGAGAGGACGACCAGCCACACUGGGACUGAGACACGGCCCAGACUCCUACCAGGAGGCAGCAGUGGGGAAUUUUGGACAAUGGGGAAACCCUGAUCCAGCCAUCCCGCGUGUGCGAUGAAGGCCUUCGGGUUGUAAAGCACUUUUGGCAGGAAAGAAACGGCACGGGAUAAUACCCCGUGCAACUGACAGUACCUGCAGAAUAGCCGCACCGGCUAACUACGUGCCAGCAGCCGCGGUAAUACGUAGGGUGCAAGCGUUAAUCGGAAUUACUGGGCGUAAAGCGUGCGCAGGCGGUUCGGAAAAGAAAGAUGUGAAAUCCCAGAGCUUAACUUUGGAACUGCAUUUUUAACUACCGAGCUAGAGUGUGUCAGAGGAGGUGGAAUUCCGCGUGUAGCAGUGAAAUGCGUAUUAGAUAUGCGGAGGAACACCGAUGGCGAGAGCGGCACUCCUGGGAUAACACUGACGCUCAUGCACGAAAGCGUGGGGGGGCAAACAGGAUUAGAUACCUGGUAGUCCACGCCCUAAACGAUGUCAACUAGCUGUUGGGGCCUUCGGGCCUUGGUAGCGCAGCUAACGCGUGAAGUUGACCGCCUGGGGGCUUACGGUCGCCAAGAUUAAAACUCAAAGGAAUUGACGGGGACCCGCACAAGCGGUGGAUGAUGUGGAUUAAUUCGAUGCAACGCGAAAAACCUUACCUACCCUUGACAUGUCUGGAAUCCCGAAGAGAUUUGGGAGUGCUCGCAAGAGAACCGGAACACAGGUGCUGCAUGGCUGUCGUCAGCUCGUGUCGUGAGAUGUUGGGUUAAGUCCCACAGCGAGCGCAACCCUUGUCAUUAGUUGCUACGAAAGGGCACUCUAAUGAGACUGCCGGUGACAAACCGGAGGAAGGUGGGGAUGACGUCAAGUCCUCAUGGCCCUUAUGGGUAGGGCUUCACACGUCAUACAAUGGUCGGGACAGAGGGUCGCCAACCCGCGAGGGGAGCCAAUCCCAGAAACCCGAUCGUAGUCCGGAUCGCAGUCUGCAACUCGACUGCGUGAAGUCGGAAUCGCUAGUAAUCGCGGAUCAGCAUGUCGCGGUGAAUACGUUCCCGGGUCUUGUACACACCGCCCGUCACACCAUGGGAGUGGGUUUUACCAGAAGUAGUUAGCCUAACCGUAAGGGGAGGGCGAUUACCACGGUAGGAUUCAUGACUGGGGUGAAGUCGUAACAAGGUAG
Molecule: ribosomal RNA, 1497 nt
Filed under: uncultured Bordetella sp.
Lineage: Bacteria; Pseudomonadati; Pseudomonadota; Betaproteobacteria; Burkholderiales; Alcaligenaceae
Description: partial 16S-23S ribosomal RNA intergenic spacer
Rfam family: Bacterial small subunit ribosomal RNA
Source: RNAcentral